AACGAGUUAUCUGAACCUUCGGGGAACGAUAACGGCGUCGAGCGGCGGACGGGUGAGUAAUGCCUAGGAAAUUGCCCUGAUGUGGGGGAUAACCAUUGGAAACGAUGGCUAAUACCGCAUGAUGCCUACGGGCCAAAGAGGGGGACCUUCGGGCCUCUUCGCGUCAGGAAUAUGCCUAGGUGGGAUUAGCUAGUUGGUGAGGUAAGGGCUCACCAAGGCGACGAUCCCUAGCUGGUCUGAGAGGAUGAUCAGCCACACUGGAACUGAGACACGGUCCAGACUCCUACGGGAGGCAGCAGUGGGGAAUAUUGCACAAUGGGCGCAAGCCUGAUGCAGCCAUGCCGCGUGUGUGAAGAAGGCCUUCGGGUUGUAAAGCACUUUCAGUCGUGAGGAAGGUGGUGUAGUUAAUAGCUGCAUUAUUUGACGUUAGCGACAGAAGAAGCACCGGCUAACUCCGUGCCAGCAGCCGCGGUAAUACGGAGGGUGCGAGCGUUAAUCGGAAUUACUGGGCGUAAAGCGCAUGCAGGUGGUUUGUUAAGUCAGAUGUGAAAGCCCGGGGCUCAACCUCGGAAUAGCAUUUGAAACUGGCAGACUAGAGUACUGUAGAGGGGGGUAGAAUUUCAGGUGUAGCGGUGAAAUGCGUAGAGAUCUGAAGGAAUACCGGUGGCGAAGGCGGCCCCCUGGACAGAUACUGACACUCAGAUGCGAAAGCGUGGGGAGCAAACAGGAUUAGAUACCCUGGUAGUCCACGCCGUAAACGAUGUCUACUUGGAGGUUGUGGCCUUGAGCCGUGGCUUUCGGAGCUAACGCGUUAAGUAGACCGCCUGGGGAGUACGGUCGCAAGAUUAAAACUCAAAUGAAUUGACGGGGGCCCGCACAAGCGGUGGAGCAUGUGGUUUAAUUCGAUGCAACGCGAAGAACCUUACCUACUCUUGACAUCCAGAGAACUUUCCAGAGAUGGAUUGGUGCCUUCGGGAACUCUGAGACAGGUGCUGCAUGGCUGUCGUCAGCUCGUGUUGUGAAAUGUUGGGUUAAGUCCCGCAACGAGCGCAACCCUUAUCCUUGUUUGCCAGCGAGUAAUGUCGGGAACUCCAGGGAGACUGCCGGUGAUAAACCGGAGGAAGGUGGGGACGACGUCAAGUCAUCAUGGCCCUUACGAGUAGGGCUACACACGUGCUACAAUGGCGCAUACAGAGGGCGGCCAACUUGCGAAAGUGAGCGAAUCCCAAAAAGUGCGUCGUAGUCCGGAUUGGAGUCUGCAACUCGACUCCAUGAAGUCGGAAUCGCUAGUAAUCGUGGAUCAGAAUGCCACGGUGAAUACGUACUCCAAG
RNAcentral lists this ribosomal RNA (1331 nucleotides) under Vibrio alginolyticus. RNAcentral describes it as "bacterial SSU rRNA". It matches the Rfam family "Bacterial small subunit ribosomal RNA", at positions 65 to 1378 of the family's 1533-position model. Lineage: Bacteria; Pseudomonadati; Pseudomonadota; Gammaproteobacteria; Vibrionales; Vibrionaceae. The record is from RNAcentral.